Molecule: non-coding RNA, 28 nt
Filed under: Homo sapiens (human)
Lineage: Eukaryota; Metazoa; Chordata; Mammalia; Primates; Hominidae
Source: RNAcentral
UACCUUGCCGAAUGGAUGGUACAUGGUU